Non-coding RNA from Chiloscyllium plagiosum (whitespotted bambooshark), 242 nucleotides. The record is from RefSeq and is a predicted model, not a curated record. Lineage: Eukaryota; Metazoa; Chordata; Chondrichthyes; Orectolobiformes; Hemiscylliidae.
GUCAUUACAGCCCGCGCUUGAGGGUUUUCUUUGUAGAAGAGAUUGUCCGGGCCAUGACAUUCCUCAUAAACCAGGGGAAGACAAUGUACUGGGGAACAUCCCGAUGGACCUCAGCGGAGAUCAUGGAAGCUUACGCCAUUGCCCGUCAGUUUAACCUGAUCACUCCGUCCUGUGAGCAGGCUCAGUAUCAUCUCUUCCAGAGAGACAAGGUCGAGGCACACCUUCCUGAGCUCUACCACAAG